Molecule: ribosomal RNA, 250 nt
Filed under: uncultured bacterium
Lineage: Bacteria
Description: partial small subunit ribosomal RNA
Rfam family: Bacterial small subunit ribosomal RNA
Source: RNAcentral
AGGACGAACGCUGGCGGCGUGCUUAACACAUGCAAGUCACGGGGGCUCGCAAGAGCAACCGGCGAACGGGUGCGUAACACGUGAGCAAUCUGCCGAUUUCUGGGGGAUAGCCGGCCCAACGGCCGGGUAAUACCGCAUACGUUCUCGAGGGGGAGUCCCCUUGGGAAGAAACCUCCGGGGGAAAUCGAGGAGCUCGCGGCCUAUCAGCUAGUUGGCGGUGUAAUGGACCACCAAGGCUAUGACGGGUAGC